AUCGCUUCUCGGCCUUUUGGCUAAGAUCAAGUGUAGUAUCUGAAAACCUGGCAACACAUUGUGCUGCAAAACUGUGAUCACAUUAAGCACGUGCCUAUGUAAUCUUUUUUUUUUCUUUUUUUUUAUUUAUUUUUU
This is a small nuclear RNA of Rattus norvegicus (Norway rat), 135 nucleotides long. Ensembl annotates it as U2 spliceosomal RNA. The record is from Ensembl. NCBI's taxonomy places the organism in Eukaryota, Metazoa, Chordata, Mammalia, Rodentia, Muridae.